GUCCCUGUAGCGUAAUGGAUAUCUCGUUGGACUUCUAAUCCAAAGGUCGUGGGUCCGAAUCCCAAUUGGGAUA
RNAcentral lists this transfer RNA (73 nucleotides) under Trichonephila clavata. It matches the Rfam family "tRNA". From Rfam's summary of the family: Transfer RNA (tRNA) molecules are approximately 80 nucleotides in length. The record is from Rfam by way of RNAcentral. Lineage: Eukaryota; Metazoa; Arthropoda; Arachnida; Araneae; Nephilidae.